GCAGAAAAAGCAAACAAAAUAAGAAGGCACCGCAUCGCCCACCACACCGUCACGUGUCGGUGCGUACAUUCCUAUUUCAACAUCUCCAUAUAUAAAUAAAUAAACGUCCCCUCUCUAUCUCUGUCUCUCAGCUUUUCGCUCAGAAAUUGCGCAGAAGUCUCUCUCUCUGUCUCCGCCUCUUCUCUCUCAUUCUCUCAUCCACUGAUUCACUGAUCACUACUUUGAAUUUCUUUUCGCCUCUCCAUAAAUCCAAACGUUCUCUUUUUUCGCGUACAGCAUUAGCCUUGUGGUUACAGUAGCAGUAGGGGGUGGAAGGCGGCGGCGGAGAUACUCAGACGUUAGGUCUGGCAGGGCUUAGGGCAAUAGCGCUGCGUGUAGGCCUGGGCCGUCGCCUCCGGAGAAAGAGGAAGGUGAAGGAUCAGUUGAUGGAAUUGUGGCACAAGAUGAUCUUCCCUGUCCGACGAGCUUGGCUAGCCGUUUCCUCUCGCGUCAAGGCCCGCAAAAAUGGUGGAGGGCUGUUGAAGCUUCAUGACGACGUGCAGACGUGUGAGUAUGAUGAUGUGCAUAGGAUGUGGAAUAUGAUGCUGAGUAGGUCGGAGUCGGAGCACGGAUCUCAACAUACAAAACGGAAGCACCGCCCCUUCUGGAGGGUCUUUGUAUGGUCCAACCACAAUUCAUCCUCCUCCUUUUCCGCCAAACACGCUUAGCAUGUAUCAGCAGCUGCUCUUCUCUUCCCGACGUCCUUCAACUCCAUUGUUUUCACAAUUCCAAGAGCUCCCCCCUGCUACUGCAAAUUAUGCUCAAAUGAGUUGUGUAGUGCCCAAAAAAAAAAAAAUUUGACAAAAUGUCACUUGUAAAUAAAUAAAGCUCAUCCACUGAGGUUGGUUUCUA
Vitis vinifera (wine grape) is the source of this 891-nucleotide long non-coding RNA. RefSeq lists it as uncharacterized. The record is from RefSeq and is a predicted model, not a curated record. NCBI's taxonomy places the organism in Eukaryota, Viridiplantae, Streptophyta, Magnoliopsida, Vitales, Vitaceae. The transcript is spliced from 2 exons.